This 501-nucleotide ribosomal RNA is filed under the name uncultured bacterium. RNAcentral describes it as "partial 16S ribosomal RNA". It matches the Rfam family "Bacterial small subunit ribosomal RNA", at positions 30 to 523 of the family's 1533-position model. The record is from RNAcentral.
AUUGAACGCUGGCGGCAGGCUUAACACAUGCAAGUCGAGCGGAGAGAGGUAGCUUGCUACUGAUCUUAGCGGCGGACGGGUGAGUAAUGCUUAGGAAUCUGCCUAUUAGUGGGGGACAACAUUUCGAAAGGAAUGCUAAUACCGCAUACGUCCUACGGGAGAAAGCAGGGGAUCUUCGGACCUUGCGCUAAUAGAUGAGCCUAAGUCGGAUUAGCUAGUUGGUGGGGUAAAGGCCUACCAAGGCGACGAUCUGUAGCGGGUCUGAGAGGAUGAUCCGGCACGCUGGGACUGAGACACGGCCCAGACUCCUACGGGAGGCAGCAGUGGGGAAUAUUGGACAAUGGGCGGAAGCCUGAUCUAGCCAUGCCGCGUGCGUGAAGAGGGCCUUAUGGUUGUAAAGCACUUUAAGCGAGGAGGAGGCUACUUUAGUUAAUACCUAGAGAUAGUGGACGUUACUCGCAGAAUAAGCACCGGCUAACUCUGUGCCAGCCGCCGCAGUAA